AUGCGUCAACCAACAGCCGCGAUUGGUCUGAUGGCAAACCGCAUUUAUCGAGAAACACAUUUCCGACCGCAAGGUUAUUGUGAGAUGACAGACAUUAUUUUGGACGAUGAUUACCAAAGACUGUUCAGGAUGAAACCGGACACAUUCGAUGUCUUGUUACAAUACUUGAGAAAUAAGUAUCCGAGCAUUGAUAUGCCUUACUCUGGUGGCCUGCAGCCUGUGUCAGCAAAGAAAAAAUUACAAGUAGCCCUAAUGUACCUCUCAUCCCAAAUGACGCUCCGAAGAAUAGGAGAUAUUUUAGGGAUUGCUGAUUCAACAGUAAUGGUGGCAAAGGAUGAAAUCGUUGAAAUGCUUUGCCGAUCCGCUAAAUAUUUCAUCCGCUGGCCAACAGAGGCAGAGGCACAGACAAUAUCAAACGAAUUUCAGGAAAUUGCAGGCUUCCCAGGAGUGAUUGGAGUCAUAGAUGGUAGCCACAUUUCUGCCAAGUUUAGAAAAACAAUGGGAACAGCUACAUAAAUAGAAAAAUGUUCAAGUCAGUCGUUUUACAAGGUGUCUGUACUAGCAAACGCUUUUUUACGCAUAUCUUUGUUGGAGCACCUGGCCGCGUGCACGAUGCACGUGUAUUUAGAUUAUCAGUUUGAAAAGCCAUAAAUCAAAAGGGUAGAAAGGCCACUAUUUUACCAAGACCGUUACCACUUGCUUGGGGAUCCGGCUUACGCCUUGACAUCGUACAUGAUAGUCAGGUAUAAACAUCGGAACUUGACAGUGGCACAGAAACGCUUCAACAAGCGACAUAGUCAAACCCGGUAAGAAUGAAGCAUUUUACCUAUUUUCAUAAUCCACCUAUUCACAUAAAUUUUAAAAAUUGGUUAGGUUUUUUUAUGAGAAUAUGUACCAGGUACAGCCAAUAAAAGGACAUUUUUCAUACUCAAGGAAAAGUAAAUAGACUCAUAAGUAAUUCACAGAAUAGAGAUAUGAAACAGAAAAUGAAUGGCAUGAUAUUACUUUUGCAAUAUUUUGUUAAGAGAAUACCUAUUUUGUCACAAUAAAAGGAGAUGAACUUCUCCCUGUGUGAUAUAUCUAUAUAUAUUUUUUCUUCAUUCCUCUUGAACCCCUGGUGAUCAGAAACCAAUGUGAUUAGGUCAUGAUGGAGUUAUUGCUGAACAAUUCGUGCAGGUUUCAAAGCGACUCAUGCUCUCUUAUGUCUCUUAAUGAGAUGCUGGACCGCUCAAUAUACUGAACUCAUGUAUUCUUUUUCUUGCAGAGUGAAAAUAGAGAACACCUUUGGGUUGCUGAAAGGAAGAUGGGCCCGGCUCCAACAUAUAAACACAUACAAACACGAGAAAAUCUCAAAAACUGUAACGGCAGCGUGUGUUCUGCACAAUUUUUGUCUGUUACAACAUGAUUAUAUGGACCACUUAGUGUACAACGAGCCACAGCAAAUAAUUCAAGACCCCCUGGGAGUUGCUCCAAAUGAAGCUGUUCAAUAUCAAUUAGGUCUAGCAAACGAUUGCAGAUCACAGCUACACUUUUGUAAAUUGCUUCGCCACAGUUCAUACUGCAAAUCAUUUUUUUGACUUUCACUGAACCAUCUUUAAAUUUUCCAUUUACAAAUUAGAUAUUGUUUCAGUAUAGUUCUUAGCAUUUUAGUUUAUUUUGUAUUCUCUUCUUGUAACAUGUAACUUUGCCUUCGUGAAAGAAAAGCCUUGUCAUUAGAUGUAUUCUAUCCGUUAUCAGCUUAAUAAUAGAGUUGACGUCAAACUAUCAGUGAUGUGUACCUGAUAUGUUAUAAUAAAUUGAUCUGACUCAUAGGUAAAUACACAAGAAAGUACAAGACUUUGCUGCUUUUUAGAUCUUUGACAAACUUUAAAUAAAAUUUCAUCCGUAUCCCCUAGUCAAUAUCAUAUGCUUUAUUACAUUUCCAUACCUUCUGCUGCGCGCUGAGUUUGCUUUCGAAUGACUGCGUGAGGUUGUUGAUUUGGUUGUCGAAUGACUGCCUGAGGUUGUUGAUUUGGUUGUCGAAUGACUGCCUGAGGUUGUUGAUUUGGUUGUCGAAUGACUGCCUGAGGUUGUUGAUUUGGUUGUCGAAUGACUGCCUGAGGUUGUUGAUUCUGUUGUCGAAUGACGGCCUGAGGUUGUUGAGUUUGUUGUCUAAUGAUUGCCUGGGGUUGUUGAGUAUGUUGUCUAAUGACUGCCUGGGGUACCUGACGGACGACAAAUUGCUGAGUUGUUUGCUGUCGAACAACGUUCUGAUUCCGCUGAUGAAUGAGUGACAGUUGUGCCUGAUGAAGCACCAGCUGACUCGGCUUCGGAGCAAUUGGUCGCACUCUGGUCACCACAGGCUUUCCUAUAAUGAAACAAAGAGCGAACUUAGAGUUACCAAUUGCUAUCAUUAAUUACAAGAUUGAAAUGAACACCUGAAGCAGACUAGUAAAUGGAGAAGCUUACUACCUUAGGAACUCAUUCUGUUUGGAAAAAAAACUACUUAGAAUGUUUGCAGAUUAGACAUUUUAGACUUGAUACUUUUGAAGCAAUUUCAAAACUUGAUAUAAUGAGCUACAUGUAUAUAUAGUCAGAUCAGCAGUGAGGUUUGCACAAUGAACCCUCUUAAAUCCUCCUGAAGUCAUAUUAAAGUUAAUCGUACGCAUGAAUGAUGACUUCUAAUUACCAUACAGAAUAGCGUUAAAAAAGGCAAGUAGACAGCUUGUACCAAAUAGCGUAUAGGGUAGAGUGAUGAAAAACUUGCAAACAAUGACCUCAAAACUGAGCAUUUUGGAAAAAAUAACCCUUCACACAAAUUUACUCCAGUGUACAUGCGAAAGACUUUAAUUAAACACAUUUCUCUCAAACAGAACUUUGUGCAGUCUUGGAUGUGCAGGUGGGAAAGAUUGGGUAUGCUCAUUAGUGGUUGGGUCAUAAGAAUGAAUGGGAAUGAUGAAGCACCAGUGACGUAGCCGCCUCUCCAGUGGCCAUUCGUCGACUUUAACUCAUGAGCCAUUUGCACAGCGCUCUUAACACAUGCCUACAGCUCAUGAAGUGUGCGCAUAGUUCCAUUUGACACAAUAUAAAAUCUGCUUAUCCAAUUCAGCGAACAGAACUGUGUGCCGACUAAAUGCAAGACUCAUGAGCCGUGGGCAUGUGUUUAAAGCAGCUCGCUUGUAGACCAAUUAUUAGUAUUAGACAUAUCUUUCCCCGACAAGACAGACAAGCUGGAUUGAUUAAACGACCAGCAAGCGCAUCUGAAACCUUAUCUCAGGCCAAAUGGCCACCUAACUAGAGGCACCUCCUCGCUGGUGGAGGCGGACAACAUGUCAAAAAUUAGCUUAACAAAAGGCUCACAACGCGGUUACUUGUCACCCGAUCAAUAGAGCUUGAUAGCUGGUCUGUCACAUGGCAUCAGUCUAAUUCAAUCAAAGCCUGCCUGCCAGAAUAAUACAUGAUCCCAACGAUCAGCCUGCUGAAAUGUGCUCUAGUUUUUGUUGGUUUGCUCACGGCAAACGGGACCAAGUGGUGGAACAUUUACCCAGUACUACAAAAUUACGCAUGAAGUGUGCAAAUAAUUGAGACUACACUUGUGAGAAAUGAUGUACAAUUGAAUAAAGCAGCAUUACUUACCUAAGUUCAGUUUGCUCGUUGGUUCAACCAUGAUAUCAGGUAGAUUUUGGGACGAUAAAGGAUGGACAGACCCCGGGUUCUCAGAAGAUUUUCUAGUCUAUUUCUGUCAGGACGAUGAUUAUGCGACGAAAAAAUGUGAUGGUCGGAUGAUAGUGUUGCUCCGAAAAAUCAGAUGGUCGUUCGCCGCUUCAUUAAGAACUCAAAAGCACAAAGUUUGAAUACAAAUCCGCAUGUACUUGCUUUUCAUACAAUCAAAAGUGCCCAAAAUGGCGAAGAAUAACAGAAUUCGGGUGAAAGAUGAAGUUUCUGACAUCGAUUCCAUCAAUUCAAAAAUCGAAUUCAGGUCCGGAGGUGAAUUCGAAAUUUCAAAUUGAUGGAUUUCACCGGUCUCCGGUGAGACCAACGAAUAAGUCGAAUUCAUUCAAAAAAAAUGCACAGUCAUCGAAUAUCAUUCAACGGUGAAUGAUAUUCGAUCGCGAAAAUUCGCUUAAGAGAUUGGGCUGUUAAACUAGAGAAUCAUAUUAAAUCGGGAUGGGAAUGAUUACUGAUGUAUGCCGAGCAGGCGGAUUCCGGUGCUGCGUUCCUGAUCCCG
Molecule: long non-coding RNA, 4207 nt
Filed under: Bemisia tabaci
Lineage: Eukaryota; Metazoa; Arthropoda; Insecta; Hemiptera; Aleyrodidae
Description: lncRNA ENSSWEETPG000904
Source: RNAcentral